Molecule: long non-coding RNA, 707 nt
Organism: Caretta caretta (loggerhead turtle)
Lineage: Eukaryota; Metazoa; Chordata; Testudines; Cheloniidae
Source: RefSeq, a predicted model, not a curated record
GUGCGAGUGACUCGCCGGCGGCGGAGGCCCGGGCCCGUGGAGAGCAGAGGCCAGAUCUGCGCUCAGCGGGCUGUAAAAAAAUGCUUAGACCAACAGAAGAAAACUACUGGACGUUUUCCAUAUUCUGCAUUAAAGAAAAUGUUGGCAGCACCCAAAUGUUCUAAAGAAGCAGCAGCGGACACUGUCCUGAGAACACAUGGGAACUAUGAAAGCAGCUGUAGCAGUGAGGUAGGAAAGACACUUGGGAUAGGUUCCCCAUCCGCAAACCACUGCACAGGGUCCCAUUGAACCAUACCUUCAGGAGGCCCUCAAUAAGACAGAAACUAGGCCAGGCUGUCUCCCACCUCCAAAUCCUCCCCAGAACUGUUAUUUGAACCCAGUUAACAUUCCUCCCACAUGGCGAUGUCAUGACAUCAAGCUUGCUACAAAGCUGUAGAUGUGCAGAACCACAGUUACACCAACUCUACUGUACAGAAGUGAAAUGUGGGCACAGAGGAGGGCUGAAGAACCCCAGAUGGAUGAUUCUUGUCAUUUUCAUCAGCUGCUCCACAUCAAGUGGCAGGACAGGAUUAGAAAUGAGGAUAUUCAAAACCGAACUCAGCAACUGCCUUAAUCAGCACUGGUUUGGUUUUAGAGGUUUUCUUGGGGUGGACAUAUUAUUAGAAUGACAGACCAAUGAAUUUCAAAGCAUGUGUACCAAGGAAUGU